This 372-nucleotide ribosomal RNA is filed under the name Salmonella enterica subsp. enterica serovar Derby. Its description in RNAcentral is "bacterial SSU rRNA". It matches the Rfam family "Bacterial small subunit ribosomal RNA", at positions 75 to 447 of the family's 1533-position model. RNAcentral also lists the same sequence under 2 other names. Lineage: Bacteria; Pseudomonadati; Pseudomonadota; Gammaproteobacteria; Enterobacterales; Enterobacteriaceae. The record is from RNAcentral.
GCAGCUUGCUGCUUUGCUGACGAGUGGCGGACGGGUGAGUAAUGUCUGGGAAACUGCCUGAUGGAGGGGGAUAACUACUGGAAACGGUGGCUAAUACCGCAUAACGUCGCAAGACCAAAGAGGGGGACCUUCGGGCCUCUUGCCAUCAGAUGUGCCCAGAUGGGAUUAGCUUGUUGGUGAGGUAACGGCUCACCAAGGCGACGAUCCCUAGCUGGUCUGAGAGGAUGACCAGCCACACUGGAACUGAGACACGGUCCAGACUCCUACGGGAGGCAGCAGUGGGGAAUAUUGCACAAUGGGCGCAAGCCUGAUGCAGCCAUGCCGCGUGUAUGAAGAAGGCCUUCGGGUUGUAAAGUACUUUCAGCGGGGAGG